GACGAACGCUGGCGGUGUGCUUAAUACAUGCAAGUCGAACGAUAAGGCCCUUCGGGGUACAUAAGUGGCGGACGGGUGAGUAAUACGUAGGUAAUUUGCCUUGAGGUGGGGGAUAACGUUGGGAAACUGACGCUAAUACCCCAUAUGUGCAAAGUUGAAAUACUUUGCAUGAAAGCUCCGGCGCCUUUAGAUGAGCCUGCGGCUGAUUAGCUUGUUGGUGGGGUAAGAGCCUACCAAGGCUAUGAUCAGUAGCUGGUCUGAGAGGAUGAUCAGCCACAAUGGGACUGAGACACGGCCCAUACUCCUACGGGAGGCAGCAGUAGGGAAUUUUGCGCAAUGGGCGAAAGCCUGACGCAGCAACACCGCGUGAGCGAUGAAGCCUUUUGGGGUGUAAAGCUCUGUCAGUGGGGAAGAAUUAAUGACUGUACCCACAGAGGAAGCAUCGGCUAACUACGUG
This 457-nucleotide ribosomal RNA is filed under the name uncultured bacterium. RNAcentral describes it as "bacterial SSU rRNA". It matches the Rfam family "Bacterial small subunit ribosomal RNA", at positions 28 to 507 of the family's 1533-position model. The record is from RNAcentral.